AGCGGCAAGAGCUCAAAUUUGAAAGCUGGCCCCUCCGGGGUCCGCGUUGUAAUUUGCAGAGGAUGCUUCGGGCUCAGCCCCCGUCUAAGUGCCCUGGAACGGGCCGUCGGAGAGGGUGAGAAUCCCGUCUGGGACGGGGUGCCUGGGUCCAUGUGAAGCUCCUUCGACGAGUCGAGUUGUUUGGGAAUGCAGCUCUAAAUGGGUGGUAAAUUUCAUCUAAAGCUAAAUACUGGCCGGAGACCGAUAGCGCACAAGUAGAGUGAUCGAAAGAUGAAAAGCACUUUGAAAAGAGAGUUAAACAGCACGUGAAAUUGUUGAAAGGGAAGCGCUUGCGAUCAGACUCGCCUGCGGGGUUCAGCCGGCAUUCGUGCCGGUGUACUUCCCCGUGGGCGGGCCAGCGUCGGUUCGGGUGGCCGGUCAAAGGCCCCGGGAAUGUGUCGCCCUCCGGGGCGUCUUAUAGCCCGGGGUGCCAUGCGGCCUACCUGGACCGAGGAAC
This 496-nucleotide unclassified non-coding RNA is filed under the name Monascus purpureus. RNAcentral describes it as "sequence contains 28S rRNA gene". It matches the Rfam family "Eukaryotic large subunit ribosomal RNA", at positions 97 to 597 of the family's 3401-position model. The record is from RNAcentral. Lineage: Eukaryota; Fungi; Ascomycota; Eurotiomycetes; Eurotiales; Aspergillaceae.